Molecule: ribosomal RNA, 253 nt
Filed under: uncultured bacterium
Lineage: Bacteria
Description: partial 16S ribosomal RNA
Rfam family: Bacterial small subunit ribosomal RNA
Source: RNAcentral
UACGUAGGUGGCAAGCGUUGUCCGGAUUUACUGGGCGUAAAGAGCGCGCAGGCGGUCGUGCAAGUCGCGUGUGAAAGCCCCCGGCUCAACUGGGGAGGGUCACGCGAUACUGCUCGACUCGAAGGCAGGAGGGGGAAGUGGAAUUCCCGGUGUAGUGGUGAAAUGCGUAGAUAUCGGGAGGAACACCAGUGGCGAAGGCGACUUCCUGGCCUGUUCUUGACGCUGAGGCGCGAAAGCUAGGGUAGCAAACGGG